Molecule: microRNA precursor, 60 nt
Organism: Monodelphis domestica (gray short-tailed opossum)
Lineage: Eukaryota; Metazoa; Chordata; Mammalia; Didelphimorphia; Didelphidae
Product: mdo-mir-1544f
Source: Ensembl
UGCACUCAGGGAUAGAAUAGCGGUCCACUUGGCAGCCUCCUUUUCUAUCCCUGGGACUGG